AAUUUUAUAGUCAAAAAUUAUGAUUUUAAAUUGCAAAUUUAAAGGUGAAUUUCUAAUUCUAAAAUUU
Molecule: transfer RNA, 67 nt
Filed under: Proagoderus schwaneri
Lineage: Eukaryota; Metazoa; Arthropoda; Insecta; Coleoptera; Scarabaeidae
Description: tRNA-Cys
Source: RNAcentral